AUGUGAGUACCGUGAUUAGAUAAGGAAAGGACAGCCAAAUAAAUGGCAAGAUAGCAAAACACACAAGAGGAUUGUGAGAAAGGAGCAAAGAAAAAACAGGGGUGACAAGAUGAUAUUUGAGGCCAUUUGGAGCAAAGGGACAAAAGUGCUUUUGGGAGGAGUAUGAGUGCUAGGAUAAAAGUUAGAUGGUAGAAGUGACUGGCACUCAUGAUGUUCAAGAGGAACACCUGUGUGAGGCAUUGUCACAGAGAGCAGGGAGUCUGGGCCUGUACUCCUUGCCUUUCAUCACUCUAUCUCCAGAUCCCAGUGUAUUACAGGUGACCAGUAAGAAUUGCCAAUGAAUGGACAGCAAUACCCAUCAAGCUGCCAAGAUUCUCAGACAAGUUCAGCGACAUGGAAGAAACAGACAUCAGCCAAGCAGCCUGAAAGCAGAGGAGACUAGAACUCCCAUGAAGAAUAAAAUUCCUGAAAGAGGCUCAGACCAACUGAGCACCUGGAAAAAAACCUGUUGAGUGGCCUGCAGGCUGUGUAGUGAGCUCCAAGUUCCCAGCUUUGUGAGCUGUCACCCAUAACUUAUGGUACAUGGGUUCCAGCAUAAAAAGCCUAGGACAGAUGACAAAUUGGAUUCAGCCACCUCAGUGUCACAGCAUGGCCCUACUCAGUGUCACAGCAUGGCCCUACUCAACGUUUCAUCCUAAGGCAGAGUUCUUGAAAAAGUUCAGACAAUGAUUGAUAUUGUGAAGGUAAUAACAACAUAGUCACGUUUGGGAGGGGGCUAUAAAAGUCCAAGUUGUUAUAUACCUUGAUGCAUUUUGUCUUUGCCGUAAUAGUAAUAUCAACUGAGUACACAUUAUAACUGACUU
Molecule: long non-coding RNA, 863 nt
Organism: Mus musculus (house mouse)
Lineage: Eukaryota; Metazoa; Chordata; Mammalia; Rodentia; Muridae
Product: predicted gene, 41013
Exons: 3
Source: RefSeq, a predicted model, not a curated record